GCCCCCGUGGUGAAACUGGAAUCACGCAGCGCUUCGGACGCUGUAUUGCAGGUUCGAAUCCUGCCGGGGGCGCC
This 74-nucleotide transfer RNA is filed under the name bacterium HR34. RNAcentral's name for it is "tRNA-Arg". It matches the Rfam family "tRNA". Rfam says of the family: Transfer RNA (tRNA) molecules are approximately 80 nucleotides in length. Their secondary structure includes four short double-helical elements and three loops (D, anti-codon, and T loops). The record is from RNAcentral.